RNAcentral lists this ribosomal RNA (1323 nucleotides) under Myiodactylus osmyloides. Its description in RNAcentral is "16S ribosomal RNA". The stretch from base 1075 to 1234 matches the Rfam family "Archaeal large subunit ribosomal RNA", at positions 2544 to 2703 of the family's 2987-position model. The record is from RNAcentral. Lineage: Eukaryota; Metazoa; Arthropoda; Insecta; Neuroptera; Nymphidae.
UUAAUUAAAAAUUACAUAAAUUUUAAGAUAAAAUAAAAAUUAAUAAAAAUAUUUUUAAAAAAUUAAAGUUUUUUAUUUUUAAUAAUUUAAAUAAUUUAAGUAAUAGUAAAUUAGUAUAGUAAUAGAAAUUUUUGGACGUAUAUAAUAUAUUUAAAGUAAAAUUUAUUUUUUGUACCUUUUGUAUCAGGGUUUAUUAAAAAUAAUUUAAUAAUUUAAAUUUCUCGAAUUUUAAAGAUUUAAUUUAAUAUAAAAAAUAUUGUUGAAAAAUUAUAUUUAAUAUUAAAUUGGUAACGAAAUAUUAUUCGAUUUAAAAGAUAUCUAGUUUUUUAAGAAAUGAAUUUAAUUCAGUAAUUUAUUUAUAUUAAUUAAUUUAAUUUAAUUAAUAUAAUAAAAUUGUAAAAUUUUAAGGGAUUAGCUUUAAAAUUAUUUUAUAAAUAAAAUAAAUAUAUUUAAAUUAAAUAGGAUUAGAAAUUUUUAUUUAAAAUUAAAAUGUUAUAAUUAAUUUAUAUAAAAAAUUAAUUUAUUAAAAUAUUUUAAAUAUUUAUUAAAAUAUUAUAUAAAAUUAUAUAUAUUAGUAAUAAUGAUAAAAUUAGUAUUAUUUAUUUUAAAAAUAAAAAAUAAAUUUAGAUUAAAAUAAGGAAUUCAGCAAUAUAAUAUUCGCCUGUUUAACAAAAACAUGUCUUUUUGAUAAUAAUUUAAAGUCUGACCUGCCCACUGAUUUUAAAUUAAAGGGCCGCAGUAUUUUGACUGUGCAAAGGUAGCAUAAUCAUUUGUCUUUUAAUUAAAGGCUAGAAUGAAUGGUUGGACGUAAUAUUAACUGUCUCAUUUUAAAAAAAAUAAAAAUUUAGUUUUUUAGUUAAAAAGCUAAAAUAAAUUUAAAAGACGAGAAGACCCUAUAGAUCUUUAUAAUUUAUAUUAUGAUUUUUAGUUAGAAUUUUAUUAUUAUAAUUAUAAUAUUAAUUAUUUUAUUGGGGUGAUAAAAAAAUUAAAUUAACUUUUUUUAAAAAAUAUAAACAAAAAUGAUUGAAUAUAUUUGAUCCAUAAGUUAUGAUUAAAAGAAUAAGAUACCUUAGGGAUAACAGCGUAAUUUUUUUAGAGAGUUCUUAUCGAUAAAAAAGAUUGCGACCUCGAUGUUGAAUUAAAAGAAUUUUUAGAUGUAGCAGUUUAAAGAAAUAGGUCUGUUCGACCUUUAAAAUUUUACAUGAUUUGAGUUCAGACCGGCGUAAGCCAGGUCGGUUUCUAUCUUUAAAUAAUUAAAAUAUUUUAGUACGAAAGGACCAAAUAUUAAAAAUAAUUUUUUUAUUAAAUGAAUAAUAUUAAUAU